Molecule: ribosomal RNA, 492 nt
Filed under: uncultured bacterium
Lineage: Bacteria
Description: partial 16S ribosomal RNA
Rfam family: Bacterial small subunit ribosomal RNA
Source: RNAcentral
AGUGAACGCUGGCGGUAGGCCUAACACAUGCAAGUCGAACGGCAGCACAGUAAGAGCUUGCUCUUACGGGUGGCGAGUGGCGGACGGGUGAGGAAUACAUCGGAAUCUACUUUUUCGUGGGGGAUAACGUAGGGAAACUUACGCUAAUACAGCAUACGACCUACGGGUGAAAGCAGGGGAUCUUCGCACCUUGCGCGAUUGAAUGAGCCGAUGUCGGAUUAGCUAGUUGGCGGGGUAAAGGCCCACCAAGGCGACGAUCCGUAGCUGGUCUGAGAGGAUGAUCAGCCACACUGGAACUGAGACACGGUCCAGACUCCUACGGGAGGCAGCAGUGGGGAAUAUUGGACAAUGGGCGCAAGCCUGAUCCAGCCAUACCGCGUGGGUGAAGAAGGCCUUCGGGUUGUAAAGCCCUUUUGUUGGGAAAGAAAAGCAGCAGGUUAAUACCCCGCUGUUCUGACGGUACCCAAAGAAUAAGCACCGGCUAACUUCGUG